Long non-coding RNA from Zalophus californianus (California sea lion), 546 nucleotides. RefSeq lists it as uncharacterized. NCBI's taxonomy places the organism in Eukaryota, Metazoa, Chordata, Mammalia, Carnivora, Otariidae. The transcript has 3 exons. The record is from RefSeq and is a predicted model, not a curated record.
GGAGAUUAUAAAAAUAUCUACGCCUCAUGGGGUUAUAUGAAGAUUAUGUGGGAGAAUACACAUAAGCACCCAGCCCAGUCCUUGAAACCUGCCAAGAUGAUUCUCAAUAGUAAAAAGUACACUUCAGAAGAGCAAGGAAUGCAAUGGAAGUUUAAAACAUGCUGAAGGCUACUCUUCUUCCAAAAUGCCCGAAGCCAGCUGUUCAUGGAUAAAGUCACCACUCUGUAAGAGCACUGUGCCCUUUUUUGGAAGGAGGACCUGAGUGACCAAGCAGUCUGUCACUAAGGAAGAUCAAACUGCCAACAUUCUGGAUGACAGGAAGUUCAUAGUGACCUUGUCAAAUCAGAGAAAUGAUCAGCUGGAAACCUGACUUUCCCAGAGGAACGAGGUGGGGAAAGAAAACACACAAGGACAAAAAACACUGAGCAGACUUGGGAUAAAUUGCCUUUUUUUUUUUUCUUUGCCCUUUUAUAUAUAAGAUGUUGGAAUUGGCCUAACAUAUUAAGCAAAAAUAACCAUUUAGAGAAUAAAAUUCCUUGUUCUUGU